GAUGAACGCUGGCGGCGUGCCUAAUACAUGCAAGUCGAGCGAACGGACGAGAAGCUUGCUUCUCUGAUGUUAGCGGCGGACGGGUAAGUAACACGUGGAUAACCUACCUAUAAGACUGGGAUAACUUCGGGAAACCGGAGCUAAUACCGGAUAAUAUUUUGAACCGCAUGGUUCAAAAGUGAAAGACGGUCUUGCUGUCACUUAUAGAUGGAUCCGCGCUGCAUUAGCUAGUUGGUAAGGUAACGGCUUACCAAGGCAACGGUGCAUAGCCGACCUGAGAGGGUGAUCGGCCACACUGGAACUGAGACACGGUCCAGACUCCUACGGGAGGCAGCAGUAGGGAAUCUUCCGCAAUGGGCGAAAGCCUGACGGAGCAACGCCGCGUGAGUGAUGAAGGUCUUCGGAUCGUAAAACUCUGUUAUUAGGGAAGAACAUAUGUGUAAGUAACUGUGCACAUCUUGACGGUACCUAAUCAGAAAGCCACGGCUAACUACGUG
This 497-nucleotide ribosomal RNA is filed under the name uncultured bacterium. Its description in RNAcentral is "partial 16S ribosomal RNA". It matches the Rfam family "Bacterial small subunit ribosomal RNA", at positions 28 to 507 of the family's 1533-position model. The record is from RNAcentral.